Ictalurus punctatus (channel catfish) is the source of this 2720-nucleotide long non-coding RNA. Lineage: Eukaryota; Metazoa; Chordata; Actinopteri; Siluriformes; Ictaluridae. The record is from Ensembl.
UUGCGUGUGUUCUGAGCUCUUGAAGGGUUAGCGCCAUGCAGUUACAGCAGCACCUGUUUUGCGGGAUGCACACGUCUCACGGUGAAACCUCAGAUUGUUAGUUCUUUUCCCAGUAUGAGUGGAAGCGCCUGUGUGUUAGUGUGCGUUUGGUGUGUCAUAGCUGCCACCCCCGCACAUCUUCAAGUCUCAGCCACAGAGAGGGAGAGUGGAGGGGAGUGAAAGGCCGCUUGGAUGCGUGGGAGAUCCCCUUAACUUUGUAUUAGAUCAGAUGUAGACACGCUGCGCUUCCAGUCUGUGUUGCGGCUGCGGAGGGGAGAGAGGAUGGCGCACACGGCCAGAGCGCACGUUACAUGGAUGUCCGCAGUGAUCAUGGUAGCUGUAACAGCCUCUUGUGUUACCUGGCUCAUCGUGUCCAAGGAGACUAUCCCCAGAGUAAAAAUCAUCAACGGUACAUCAAUGGCAAAUAUGUUCAGAGUUCCACCUUCCACAGCACAGCAUUGUCUUUUAAAAGUGCACAACUCUACAAAUGGCAAUCAUCUGGCCUGGGAGGAGGAGGGGUGUGUCGAGAAUUUCUCCCUGAAUGACGACAAAACCUCAAUAACAGUGAAGGAGCCGGGUGUUUAUCUGGUCUACGUCCAGCUGACAUACAGUCUCAAAAAGGAUGGAAACAGCUCUAACAUACACCUCAAUUUGACCGUGGAGUUCACUUAUACCGAGGACAAGGUAGAAUUCAAUGGUGCCUUUGACAACCGGCAGCUCACAGAGAAGGAGCAAGACGCCCAUCUCACAGCCUUCUUCCUGCUCAAAAUGACAGCUGGGAACAAACUCUCCAUAAUCGCAUAUCCGAAGAACAGGAUAAAGUAUGACGAUGUUCGGCCAUUCUCCAGUUACAUCACCAUCGUUCGGUAUGCUGACUUAUCAGGAUGAGAAGGAAAGAAACUAUCAGCUUCAGUUCAGACAUAUGCUCUAUGUUUAUGUCAGCUCUUUUCCUUCUUGCUAUUUAAGUCACAAAACUGAAGUUCUUCUGUGAUGAUGUCCAAACGAUGACCAGUGGCAUCAGAGGCUUUCAUGAAGUUAAAUCGAGAAAUGCUUAAACCACAAGAAGAAAUAUGACAACUCAACAAAUUCGGGUUGUUUGUGUAGGGAGGUGCAAUAUUUACCUCAGUAAUUUUUUCUUUGUUUUGUUUUUUUUCCCCUCCCCCUUUGUUGCAUAAUGUUCCCGACUCAUGAUUUUCUGAGAAGCAUGACACAUUUUCCGCCCAUUAGAGACAAAAGUGAUUUUCACUUUGUUUCAGGUUCAUUAUGACUCAGUUGAGAAAGAGCAUCAUGCCUGUUUCCUCAUUUCUCGGUUUGACGAAAUGAGCACACACACGUUAAUGUCACUUCCACUAGCUGCUGCAAUUGACGCUUCAUUACAUUUAUGAAACGGGGGAUCUUUUUUUUUUUUGGGAUGGUGUUUCUGUGAAAGCUGUUUGUCCCAUUAUUCUGAAAACAUGUACAACAACAAGCUGAAUGUGAUGUUUUAAAGCAUCCUCUUAGAGGACGAUCAUGUCAUUUUAAAACUGUAAAUGUGUACCAGCAAUUUGGAGAAAUUCUCAGUACCAUAAGGAUAUAGUUUAGCAAUAAGUGACGAGCACCAUUACGUAUUCCUCUUUGUGUUUGUUUGGGCUUUUUGUUGUUUUGUUUUGGGGUUUUUUUUCUUCCUUGCAGAGUAUCAUCCAUUAAUACCCUCAUUAUUAUAUAAUCUAAACCAAAAAUCAAGCUAUGCGAUUUCAUUAAAGCUUUUAUCAUUAUGUUUAUUUCUAUGGUUUAGGGAAAAUGUAGAUGUAUCCAUUUUGCUUCAACACUUAAUAUAAAUGUAGUAUAUUUAACACAGAGUUGAAAUGUCAGUGAUGCUCUUCAGGUAGUACCACUAAGGUUUCUUUUUUCCUGAUAAUCCUUAUUUUUGAUAAAGAUUUAUAAAUAUGAAAGAAAGUGAGGUAUGUCAUACCAUAACACACUAAUUUAACAGGCAUAAAGCUGAAAUCUGUGGCAUUGUGAUCAUCAAUAUUAAGAUAUUUUGGCACCUCAAGUAAUAUAUUUUCUCCAGGUCUUUUGUAAUAGUCUCAGGGUUGACUGUAAUGUUCUUGAUUUCCUAAUCAAACUAAUGAUUUAACUUAAAGUCAUCUUUACAAGAAGAGUUGCAUGACACACAAUACACACAAUUGCAUGACACACAAUAUAUCACAACCAUUUUCCUUGUUUUGAAUUUGUUAUGAGUCAGCUGAAAGAAAAAAGAAAAAAAAAAAGCAUUCCACUUCUGUAAGGUCAGAUAAGUUUAGGGCUGCUGAUCAGAAUUCUAAUGACAUUUUUUAAAUCAUUAUUUUGUGUUUUUGUUUGUUUUUUGUUGCAAAGUGGCCUUGCUUGUGAAGUGAGCAAGGCCAUAUAUAAAUUAAAUAUGAUUAUUAUUGUUAUUAUUAUUAUUAUUAUUAUUAUUAUUAUUAUUAUUAUUAUUAAAUCCUCAGUAUUGACAUUUGAGCAACUACUCUUCAGACAUAUUUGAUUGUAUAUGAUAAGUAUUUUUUCAUUGUUAGCCUGAACGAUACACUCAUGUUGAAAAAUUGUAGUGGACUACUGCCUUUGUUCUCAAAUUGCUCAGCAAUAUUGUAUUUAUCUACUGCAUUUUCGUAUAAAUUGUAAUUAUUUGUUAUUUAAAGCGAUAAAUUCAUUUCAUAAUUGCA